Molecule: ribosomal RNA, 322 nt
Filed under: uncultured bacterium
Lineage: Bacteria
Description: bacterial SSU rRNA
Rfam family: Bacterial small subunit ribosomal RNA
Source: RNAcentral
AACGAACGCUGGCGGCGUGCUUAACACAUGCAAGUCGAACGCGAACGUCUUCUUCGGAAGAUUAGUAGAGUGGCGCACGGGUGAGUAACGCGUAAGUAAUCUACCCUCGCAUCAGGGAUAACCCACCGAAAGGUGUGCUAAUACCGGAUACGUUUGAAUGAAUAUCUUUUUUCAAAGAAAGGUGGCCUCUUCAUGAAAGCUACUGUGCGGGGAGGAGCUUGCGUACCAUUAGCUAGUUGGUAGGGUAAUGGCCUACCAAGGCAACGAUGGUUAGCGGGUCUGAGAGGAUGAUCCGCCACACUGGAACUGAAACACGGACCAG